This 253-nucleotide ribosomal RNA is filed under the name uncultured bacterium. Its description in RNAcentral is "partial 16S ribosomal RNA". It matches the Rfam family "Bacterial small subunit ribosomal RNA", at positions 524 to 776 of the family's 1533-position model. The record is from RNAcentral.
UACGGGGGGGGCAAGCGUUGUUCGGAAUUACUGGGCGUAAAGGGCUCGUAGGCGGCCAACUAAGUCGGAUGUGAAAUCCCCAGGCUCAACCUGGGAACUGCAUCCGAUACUGGAUGGCUUGAAUUCGGGAGAGGGAUGCAGAAUUCCAGGUGUAGCGGUGAAAUGCGUAGAUAUGCCAUAGAACACCGAUUGCGAAGGCAGCUUGCUGGACCUGUAUUGACGCUGAGGCACGAAAGCGUGGGGAGCAAACAGG